RNAcentral lists this ribosomal RNA (420 nucleotides) under uncultured bacterium. Its description in RNAcentral is "bacterial SSU rRNA". It matches the Rfam family "Bacterial small subunit ribosomal RNA", at positions 356 to 773 of the family's 1533-position model. The record is from RNAcentral.
GAGGAAUAUUGGUCAAUGGGCGCAAGCCUGAACCAGCCAUGCCGCGUGCAGGAAGAAGCAUCUAUGGUGUGUAAACUGCUUUUAUACAGGAAGAAACACCCCCACGUGUGGGGGCUUGACGGUACUGUAAGAAUAAGGACCGGCUAACUCCGUGCCAGCAGCCGCGGUAAUACGGAGGGUCCAAGCGUUAUCCGGAAUCAUUGGGUUUAAAGGGUCCGUAGGCGGUCUUAUAAGUCAGUGGUGAAAUCUCCUAGCUCAACUAGGAAACUGCCAUUGAUACUGUAAGACUUGAAUACUUGUGAAGUAACUAGAAUAUGUAGUGUAGCGGUGAAAUGCUUAGAUAUUACAUGGAAUACCAAUUGCGAAGGCAGGUUACUAACAAGUUAUUGACGCUGAUGGACGAAAGCGUGGGGAGCGAAC